This 307-nucleotide ribosomal RNA is filed under the name uncultured eukaryote. Its description in RNAcentral is "partial 18S ribosomal RNA". It matches the Rfam family "Eukaryotic small subunit ribosomal RNA", at positions 1470 to 1796 of the family's 1831-position model. The record is from RNAcentral.
CCCUUAGACGUUCUGGGCCGCACGCGCGCUACACUGACGAAGGCAACGAGCUUUCCUUUACCGAAAGGUACGGGUAAUCUUUUGAAACUUCGUCGUGCUGGGGAUAGAUCCUUGCAAUUUUUGAUCUUAAACGAGGAAUGCCUAGUAAGCGCAAGUCAUCAACUUGCGUUGAUUACGUCCCUGCCCUUUGUACACACCGCCCGUCGCUGCUACCGAUUGAAUGGUUUAGUGAGGCCUUCGGAUCCGCGACUCGUUUGUGGAGAAGUUGGACAAACUCAGUCAUUUAGAGGAAGUAAAAGUCGUAACA